GAUGAACGCUGGCGGCGUGCCUAAUACAUGCAAGUCGAGCGAACAGACGAGGAGCUUGCGCCUCUUAGGGUAGCGGCGGACGGGUGAGUAACGCGUGGAUAACCUUCCUAUAAGUCUGGGAUAACAUCGGGAAACCAGUGCUAAUACCGCAUAAUAUCUUUAACCGCAUGGUUCAAGAGUGAAAGACGCAUUUGCUGCACCCAAUAGUCGUAUCCGGGUCUCAUAAGUUGGUGGGUAAGGAAACGCCCUACCAAGGCGACGUACCGUGGCCGCCCUGAGGGGGUGAUCGGCCACACUGGAACUGAGACUCGGUCCAGACUCCUACGGGAGGCAGCAGUGGGGAAUUUUGGGCAAUGGGCGAAAGCCUGACGGAGCAACGCCGCGUGAGUGAUGAAGGUCUUCGGAUCGUAAAACCCUUUUGUUAGGAAAGAACAACUGUGGAAGUAACUACUCACGUAUUGACGGUACCUAAUCAGAAAGCGACGGCUAACUACGUG
This 497-nucleotide ribosomal RNA is filed under the name uncultured bacterium. Its description in RNAcentral is "partial 16S ribosomal RNA". It matches the Rfam family "Bacterial small subunit ribosomal RNA", at positions 28 to 507 of the family's 1533-position model. The record is from RNAcentral.